This 352-nucleotide ribosomal RNA is filed under the name uncultured bacterium. Its description in RNAcentral is "partial 16S ribosomal RNA". It matches the Rfam family "Bacterial small subunit ribosomal RNA", at positions 338 to 707 of the family's 1533-position model. The record is from RNAcentral.
CCUACGUGGGGCAGCAGUGGGGAAUAUUGCACAAUGGGGGGAACCCUGAUGCAGCGACGCCGCGUGAGUGAAGAAGGAUUUCGGUAUGUAAAGCUCUAUCAGCAGGGAAGAAAAUGACGGUACCUGACUAAGAAGCCCCGGCGAACGACGUGCCAGCAGCCGCGGUAAUACGAAGGGGGCAAGCGUUCUCCGGCUUUACGGGGGGUAAAGGGAGCGCAGACGGGUGUGCAAGUCUGGAGUGAAAGGCGGGGGCCCAACCCCCGGACUGCUCGUGAAACUGUCAAUCUGGAGUGCAGGAGAGGUAACCGCAAUUCCUCGUGUAGCGGUGAAAUGCGUAGAUAUUAGGAGGAAC